GGGUAACAAGGGUGCUUCAGGGGUGUCUGCAAAGGAGCUCUGCUUCACAGCAGUGUUCCCUUCUUUUAGGGGUCUAGCCCAGCAGCUGGUGGACCCAGCCCGGCCAGGAGAUUUCAACCAAGCAGCCAUGGAGCUAGGGGCCACAGUGUGUACCCCACAGCGCCCACUGUGCAGCCAGUGCCCUGUGGAGAGCCUGUGCCGGGCACGCCAGAGAGUGGAGCAGGAACAGCUCUUAGCCUCAGGGAGCCUGUCGGGCAGUCCUGACGUGGAGGAGUGUGCUCCCAACACUGGACAGUGCCACCUGUGCCUGCCUCCCUCGGAGCCCUGGGACCAGACCCUGGGAGUGGUCAACUUCCCC
This 358-nucleotide long non-coding RNA is filed under the name Homo sapiens (human). RNAcentral describes it as "non-protein coding lnc-TESK2-3:1". Lineage: Eukaryota; Metazoa; Chordata; Mammalia; Primates; Hominidae. The record is from RNAcentral.